Molecule: non-coding RNA, 1686 nt
Organism: Heterocephalus glaber (naked mole-rat)
Lineage: Eukaryota; Metazoa; Chordata; Mammalia; Rodentia; Bathyergidae
Source: RefSeq, a predicted model, not a curated record
UCUUUUUUUUAAUAACUAAAGAUUGGUCUCCUUAGUGCUAACUAUGCGACACUUUAACUGACGACAAUGCCUAAGUAAAUAAUGUGGUUUUCUGGGUUGCCCAGGCUGCCAGGGAACGCCAAAGAAUUCCACAGCUGACUCACAGCACUGAGCAUCUUGGGUCCUGGCUUUGUAAGAUUACUUAAUUUAGGUCACUAUGACUAAGAGCUUAGUGAGUUUCAUAAUGUCCUGCUGAAGGAUCCACUGGGUGUGGCCGGCAGAAGAUACUCAGGGAAAACUGAUGGAAUGGAGGCAGAAUAUAUUUUGGAGAGGAAACGCCUUCUCUAUUUGGAUGAGCUCAACAUCAAAACAAAGACGGAUGCUCUUCUGCCAGCACAGAAAGAUAAAACACGAACCCAAGUCCAAGUGGGUUGCGUUCCCUCCAGAUCUCGGCCACACGUCUGUCUCAGUGCCUGCCUCGUCCAGGCAGCCUCCCACUCUGCUUGCUGGGAAGGACUAGGGCUCCUACUGUCCCCUACAGGGGGAAGAACGCUGUUCAAGAGCGAAAAGAAAAAUUUCACAGAACUUAAAAAAAAGGGAAAGAGGAAAGGAGAGGAGAGGAAGGUCUGAACCUGAUUGUCUGUCCCCAGACGGUUUUUAGUGAGAGCUCAAGCUGCAAAGGACCAGAGAUGUCCUGGGUUCUGGGAAAGUCAGCAGCAAUCAGGGCAGGCUUGUAGGGGUCUGCCACGAGGACAAUGUGGGGAAGGGCGGUGAGAAAGGGAAAUGAAGCACAUGUUGGUCUGCCAAGUGAUCUUUCCACAAGCUGCUAUCUUUUCUUAUCAUCGUUACUACUAUUUUGUUUGAGCAGGGGUUAGAAUGUAAAAUGCAGAUUCCACCUGUGUAAAGUGCCAACGACACACUUAGGAUUAGAUGAUUCUGCACUAGAAAUUUCAACCUGGUUUUCAAAGUGAUUCCUAUGUAGCGUAAUGACUUCAACUGUUUGGGAAAUGACUUGUCAAGCCACGAGCCAUGCUAAGCUCAGUGCAAGCGACUGAGGCAGUGGAAGUGGGCGAGGGAGGCCAUGCGAUGAGCAAUGUAAUGAUGUGCCCACUGCAAGCCAGGCAUGAGAAGAGCCACUCAGCCACAGAAGCAGUGGGGGUUCCCUGGCAGGGGUCACCACAGUGAGGUCACCAUGGUCCAGCAGACUUCAGAGUGCAUGAGGAACACUCGGCUCACUGUCAGAAAGGCAGAAUCAGAGACCCCACCCAGGGCCCAGGAAUAUGUAUAUCAGCAAAUCUUCCCAGGAUUCUGGUGCCAGGGCUCUAAGAACAGUAUUUAAACCACAAUACAGCAGUAAGAUGAUUACUUUUUAAGUCAGCAAACUCAGACAAGCAGCCUUCAGCAUACCAUUUUUAAGCCCUCUGUGCCUCGGUUUCUCCAAUGAUGAGACAGAAACUGUCACUUCCCACGAUUAAGAUAGCUGAUUAAGAGAAUAUGUUAUAAAAUCUACCUAGGCCACCCUUGAUUCCUGGCUCUCUCAUCUUCCUCGGCUGGCAUCAUUCAGAAAGGAAGUAGGUGUGGUUAUCUUAUUCUAACUAAGGGAAAUCCAUUUACUAAGCAUAUAGACAUAUAAAAACAGAUGUAAAAGAAAUAUUUUGCCUAUAGAUAAGAACAUACUUAAUAAUUUUGAUAUGCCUUUAUUCUUUA